UCCCAGGCCACUGGCUGUGCUCAGCGUGGCAUGGGCACUCACAACUACCAUCACUCCCUGACUUGUCACCUCCACCAGGGGGACACAGGCCCAUUUACUGCGGGACACAAGAACAAGGCUGCUCGUCAUCAUGUUGUCAAGAAGCCGAGCCACCAGAGCCGACUCCUGGUCCUGGGGCAGCACUGGGGAGCCCUGACUCUGGUGGCCCAAGCCUUUUCAUCAGCCUCCUAGCUGCUAAUUACGCCUGUGAGUUACCUCCCUUAACGGUGGGCCCGCCCGGCUGGUGCCUGCAACCCUGAAAUCUUGUACUUUGAUCUGAUUUUGCUUUGUUCUUGUCUAGUUCAAAAUGUACUUGCAGUUCUCCCUUCCUAGGAGUGACUCUCAGGCAGCCUGGCCCAAUUUUUAGGGAAGAAGGGGUGUCCAAAAGGCAGUGGCCAGGUAAAUGUUACUCAGAAUGACUACAGUGCUGGGUAAUAAGAGGGUCUCCAAAAACGUUUGAAAUUAUCUGAAGCUUUCAAUAUAUACAUGUUUAUGUGCAGGUCAUGGGGAGGAGUCUCUUAACCAAGCGAUAUUCUAAAAAGACAAUUCACAUGCAGCUGUCUUGUAUUCUUAAGGGUAAACGGGUGUGAUCAACAAUACGAUGAGCCUUGAAACCUUUGGAAAUGUGCUACAGUGGAAGACCCAUCUGUCCCACCACCCUGUCAAGCCGCUGUCUCCUGACUGUCUCUGGUUGCGCAGUCGUGGCUGCUCGGUGUCCUGAACCAAUUCAAAGCACUGACAUUUCAUGGUCAUUUUGAGUUGGGGGAAGAUCUAGAAGUCACACAGGGCCAAAUCUGGCGGUUAAGAUGGAUGAGGACCCAUUGGCGGGGUUUCGAAACCCCACAUUUCACUGGAAGGCAGCUUUUACUGUAUGUUUGAUCAACUCUUGUAAGACACUCAUGAAAGAAGCAUUUCAGAACGGCUCCAGAAAGCGCCCAGAAUAAUGGGAUAAGUAUGUUUGAUGGGAGAGAAAGGAAGCUUCACAGCACUUUAUACCAUGAUAAAUACUUCUUAUUAAACACUCACUGCAUACUUGAUCACACCUCCAUCCCUGGAAUUCUGCUAAGUCCCCUGGUAGUCAUACGUACCCAAAGAUACUGUCAUCAGGAUCGUCACCCUGGCCAUUUCUGACUCUUUGUGAUUGAGAUUUUUGCAGGCAGGGUGGCUGUCUUCCGGCCUUGGGGAAGGAGGGUUUCCUCUCCCACCUGAUGGUCAGCGGUACCCACCAGAGACCACGUAGCCUCUGCCACUGGCGUUCCUGACAGAGCCCACGUCUGGGGGCCACUGUGACUUGCUUGAGAGGUCCCUGUGCAGCUGUGCUGUGUUCACAGAGGAGAAGAAAGAGGGCCUGAGAGAUGUGGCCUGGCCAGCCUGCACAAGGAGGGAGCUGGAACCUGAUCCCAGCAUGACCCAUGGAGUUCCAGCCCAGCAUCGAGGCUCCCAUAGCUCACAGGUAGGAAGCUUAAUCCCUCAGGCAAUGGUGUGGGGUGGGGCCCAGCCCAGGGACCAGGAGAAGAGUGUUGGACCAGGACCAGAGCCGGCAUGGGCUUGCCUUGCCCUGGCCGCCACCCGUGAGCUCCUCCGUGACCUCCAGCUCUCUCCUGGCUCUCCUGCAGCCAAGUCCCUGCACCUCGUACCCUCCCUGUGACCCUCCAGCUUCCUUCCUGCUCAUAAUUAAGAAACCGUCACAUGAGCCUAUGCGUACACUCACACUGCAUCCGCCUUUUUUUUUUUUUUUCUUUAUGUAAACUAUUUUGGCCUAAUCCUUUUUUCCAAAAGGAAUGGCUAAUAUUUCGUGGGGAGAGAUAAGAUCUUGCUUUAAUACAGUUAGCUUCAAUUGACCUUGAA
Molecule: long non-coding RNA, 1887 nt
Organism: Cavia porcellus (domestic guinea pig)
Lineage: Eukaryota; Metazoa; Chordata; Mammalia; Rodentia; Caviidae
Exons: 2
Source: RefSeq, a predicted model, not a curated record